RNAcentral lists this ribosomal RNA (171 nucleotides) under uncultured Leptolinea sp. RNAcentral describes it as "partial 16S ribosomal RNA". It matches the Rfam family "Bacterial small subunit ribosomal RNA", at positions 1214 to 1382 of the family's 1533-position model. Lineage: Bacteria; Bacillati; Chloroflexota; Anaerolineae; Anaerolineales; Anaerolineaceae. The record is from RNAcentral.
CUACACACACGCUACAAUGGCCAACACAAUAGGUUGCUAAGCCGCGAGGUGGAGGCCAAUCCUCAAAGUUGGUACUCAGUUCAGAUUGCAGGCUGCAACCCGCCUGCAUGAAGAUGGAGUUGCUAGUAACCGCAGGUCAGCUAUACUGCGGUGAAUACGUUCCCGGGGCUU